This 700-nucleotide ribosomal RNA is filed under the name uncultured bacterium. RNAcentral describes it as "bacterial SSU rRNA". It matches the Rfam family "Bacterial small subunit ribosomal RNA", at positions 78 to 775 of the family's 1533-position model. The record is from RNAcentral.
CUUCGGUGUGAGUAGAGCGGCGGACGGGUGAGUAAUGCUUGGGAAUCUGCCCAAUAGUGGGGGAUAACGUGUGGAAACGCACGCUAAUACCGCAUACGUCCUACGGGAGAAAGCAGGGGAUCUUCGGACCUUGCGCUAUUGGAUGAGCCCAAGUCAGAUUAGCUAGUUGGUGGGGUAAUGGCUCACCAAGGCGACGAUCUGUAGCUGGUCUGAGAGGAUGAUCAGCCACACUGGGACUGAGACACGGCCCAGACCCCUACGGGAGGCAGCAGUGGGGAAUAUUGCACAAUGGGCGAAAGCCUGAUGCAGCCAUGCCGCGUGUGUGAAGAAGGCUCUAGGGUUGUAAAGCACUUUCAGUGGGGAGGAAAAGUUCAAAACUAAUAUUUUUGAACCUUGACGUUACCUGCAGAAGAAGCACCGGCAAACUCCGUGCCAGCAGCCGCGGUAAUACGGAGGGUGCGAGCGUUAAUCGGAAUUACUGGGCGUAAAGCGCGCGUAGGUGGUUUGAUAAGCUAGCUGUGAAAGCCCUGGGCUCAACCUGGGAACUGCAGUUAGAACUGUCUGGCUAGAGUAUAGUAGAGGGUGGCGGAAUUUCCUGUGUAGCGGUGAAAUGCGUAGAUAUAGGAAGGAACAUCAGUGGCGAAGGCGGCCACCUGGACUAAUACUGACACUGAGGUGCGAAAGCGUGGGGAGCAAACAU